GAACCCCGGCGGCUCCGACAUGGCCUCCACCUUCCUCCCGCUCCUCCUCCUCCUCGCCGCCCUCCCAGGGCUGCGGGCGGCCGUGAGCCUCGUCGAGUCCGGCGGCGACCUCAAGGCCCCGGGGGAGUCCCUGCGGCUCCUCUGCCGCGGCUCCGGCUUCACCUUCGCCAGCUACGGAAUGUUCUGGGCGCGCCAGAGCCCCGGGAAGGGGCUGGAAUGGGUCGCCGGGAUCAGCAGCGGUGGUGGCGGCACCUACUACGCGCCGGCGGUGAAGGGCCGGUUCACCAUCGCCAGGGACAACGGGCAGGGCACGGUGACGCUGCAGAUGAACGGCCUCAAGGAGGAGGAUUCCGCCACCUAUUUCUGCGCCAAAGCUGCUCACGGCGGCGCCGGCGCCGGGGGAGGGCGGGCAAAAACCUCCAAUUCUCCCGGGGGGGAGACGACACCGUUGAGCGGGUUGGGUGUCACGGUUGG
Molecule: non-coding RNA, 474 nt
Organism: Corapipo altera (White-ruffed manakin)
Lineage: Eukaryota; Metazoa; Chordata; Aves; Passeriformes; Pipridae
Source: the annotation of a RefSeq genome assembly